AAAAAACUACGACAGCAUACAAUUAUUCAAAACAUAAAUAUCCAAAACAUAAAUAAUGGGAUCCUCGCUCUCGAGGAGCUCCUUGAUGAUUAUAAGGUGUGGCUCGUAUAUAACUUCCCCGUUCUUGACGAUUACAAGCUUGCUUCCCUGACCCACUCGCUGGACCUAAGGGAUCCGGGCCACGAAGGCAGUCAGGAUGGCGAAGCACUCCUGGUCCUCGACGCCAAACUCCCCCUCCCUCCAACGGAAGAGAAGAACCUCUUUCUUUUCACUGAUAUUUGUGAGGCCAAUAGUCCAAAAAAACCAAUAAUUUGGUAUUGGUUCAUAAAAUUCUGCGUACAGACCAAUUGUGAAGAAGGAGAAAUGUGGCGCCGGAGAAUUCCAACAACAUUACCGGCGAUGGACAAGAUCAGCCGUCUACCAGAAGCUAUUGUGUGCACCAAAGAGGUAGUUGCGACAAGCGUUUUGUCAGAGCGAUGGACACAUUUAUCAACUUCGCAGACAUCCAAAUCCAUAGCACCGAUUCUAAUUACACUUUCAAUGAGAUGCUUCUGCCGGUGGAUCUCAUCAAAUCAGCCGUUUCUGUCUCAAAAUUCUUAG
Vicia faba (fava bean) is the source of this 600-nucleotide non-coding RNA. The record is from the annotation of a GenBank genome assembly. NCBI's taxonomy places the organism in Eukaryota, Viridiplantae, Streptophyta, Magnoliopsida, Fabales, Fabaceae.